Molecule: ribosomal RNA, 514 nt
Filed under: uncultured bacterium
Lineage: Bacteria
Description: bacterial SSU rRNA
Rfam family: Bacterial small subunit ribosomal RNA
Source: RNAcentral
GAUUAUGGCUCAGGAUGAACGCUAGCUACAGGCUUAACACAUGCAAGUCGAGGGGCAGCAUGAAACUUAGCUUGCUAAGUUUGAUGGCGACCGGCGCACGGGUGAGUAACACGUAUCCAACCUACCGUUUACUACGGGAUAGCCUUCUGAAAAGGAGAUUAAUACCGUAUGGUAUUCUAAAGUUUCAUGACAUUAGAAUUAAAGGUUUACCGGUAAUCGAUGGGGAUGCGUUCCAUUAGAUAGUAGGCGGGUAACGGCCCACCUAGUCAGCGAUGGAUAGGGGUUCUGAGAGGAAGGUCCCCCACAUUGGAACUGAGACACGGUCCAAACUCCUACGGGAGGCAGCAGUGAGGAAUAUUGGUCAAUGGGCGAGAGCCUGAACCAGCCAAGUAGCGUGAAGGAUGACUGCCCUAUGGGUUGUAAACUUCUUUUAUAAAGGAAUAAAGUGGUCCACGUGUGGAUUUUUGUAUGUACUUUAUGAAUGAGGAUCGGCUAACUCCGUGCCAGCAGCAGC